GUGUCAGCCGCCGCGGUAAUACGGAGGGGGUUAGCGUUGUUCGGAAUUACUGGGCGUAAAGCGCACGUAGGCGGAUUGGAAAGUUGGGGGUGAAAUCCCGGGGCUCAACCCCGGAACUGCCUCCAAAACUCCCAGUCUAGAGUUCGAGAGAGGUGAGUGGAAUUCCGAGUGUAGAGGUGAAAUUCGUAGAUAUUCGGAGGAACACCAGUGGCGAAGGCGGCUCACUGGCUCGAUACUGACGCUGAGGUGCGAAAGUGUGGGGAGCAAACAGGAUUAGAUACCCUGGUAGUCCACACCGUAAACGAUGAAUGCCAGACGUCGGGUAGCAUGCUAUUCGGUGUCACACCUAACGGAUUAAGCAUUCCGCCUGGGGAGUACGGUCGCAAGAUUAAAACUUAAAUGAAUUGGCGGGG
Molecule: ribosomal RNA, 413 nt
Filed under: uncultured prokaryote
Description: bacterial SSU rRNA
Rfam family: Bacterial small subunit ribosomal RNA
Source: RNAcentral